Molecule: long non-coding RNA, 1255 nt
Organism: Mirounga angustirostris (Northern elephant seal)
Lineage: Eukaryota; Metazoa; Chordata; Mammalia; Carnivora; Phocidae
Exons: 3
Source: RefSeq, a predicted model, not a curated record
AAUUUAAAGAAUCUGUCUCAGAGAAGUGACGGUAGAGCAAUGAUUUGCUCUGAGAGAAUAGUCAGGCGAGGGGAAUAUUCCUGAACUGUGGAAAUCAGUCAAAUUAGAAAUGGGGUUUUGUAACCCGUUUAUAGCCAAGGGAGUGGAAUAUACAAUGAUCCUACCUGGUGGGGAAUCUUCUCAAACAUUCCCACCAUAAACUCAUGGCAGAUCAACAGAGCAGGAAAUUGUGGGGGGCACAUGAAGGCAAGGACAGGAAGACAGGAACAGGAAGGACAGGUGAAGAAAGAUGAGAUUUCCAUAAACAGGAAACAACCGUAUGGCUUCUUUACCUCUUAAAUCUUAUGUGGAGACAAGCAGAGAACCCCACUCCCAACCAGGAGAGAGGACCUACCUUCUCCCAUCCUUCCGGCUUAAUCCUGGCAGAUAUUCAACUCAGGGGCUGCAGAACACAUCUAAAUGGAAGGAAACUAAUUUAUGAAUCAGGCUACCAAGCGGGAUCAGGAAGGUGCUUGCUGUUCGGGAAGAAACAGCUCCAAAGCAAGAAUGUAGGGCCCAGGAAGAAAAGUCAUCCAACCCCAAGAAAGUCACCGAGCUUUGCUGAAGCAGCAACCGCAGCAGCCGCACCCCCAAAACUUCUCUUCGUGACAUCCUUAAUACAGUGAAGAGUAAAGGAGGUACCACGUGCUAAUUGAAUUUGUUUUUCUACCGGAAUCAUCUCUCCAAAUUCUACAACCGUUAUAUUUUCAAGAAAGCCCAAAGAGGACAGUGAAUUUGAAGGUGCUAUUCCGAUCCAGAGACUUCCACCUCCUGCCCUGCUUCUCGCCCCUGCUAAAAUGUCAAGCCUCUGGCCGCUACCAGUCAGAUCCCAAACAAGCGUGUGAAUAACAAUGGGAAGUGUGACAAUUCCCUAGUUUUUUGUUUUUGUUUUUUUUUUUAAACCUUCUCAGGAAGAGCUUGACUAUGGAGAAAUCUAUGUUUAGACUGUUGUCUUUUGUAUUUGGUUUAGUAAACUGCAUUUCAAGGCCCCUAGGAUGCAAGUUAUACUCAUUAUAUGCUCAAACAAUUUCCCCUUCAACAUGAUUUUCACGUCAGAAUGAUAAAGGGUAACAGAAAAAUAAGAACCAUUGCGGCACCAAACUGACCCAUCAUUAGUGUAAAACCUUAAAUGAGUACAAUUGAACUGUUUGUUGAUGCAUAUAUAUAUGGUAAAUAAAGGUAAAGAUUGAUUUUUGUUAUCUCUAUGAUGAAAGGG